Molecule: ribosomal RNA, 477 nt
Filed under: uncultured bacterium
Lineage: Bacteria
Description: partial 16S ribosomal RNA
Rfam family: Bacterial small subunit ribosomal RNA
Source: RNAcentral
GAUUAACGCUGGCGGCGUGCAUAACACAUGCAAGUCGAACGAUGAAACUUAAAUGAUUUCUUCGGAAUGAACUUAAGUGGAUUAGUGGCGGACGGGUGAGUAACGCGUGAGUAACCUGCCUUACACAAGGGGAUAGCCGUUGGAAACGACGAAUAAUACCCUAUGAAACUAUCACUUCGCAUGAAGCGAUAGUCAAAGUGUUAGCGGUGUAAGAUGGACUUGCGUCUGAUUAGCUAGUUGGUGAGAAAAAAGCCCACCAAGGCAACGAUCAGUAGCCGGCUUGAGAGAGUGUACGGCCACAUUGGGACUGAGACACGACCCAGACUCCUACGGGAGGCAGCAGUGGGGAAUUUUGCACAAUGGGGGAAACCCUGAUGCAGCGACGCCGCGUGAUUUAGAAGGCCUUCGGGUUGUAAAAAUCUUUUGUAUAGGAAGAAAAUGACAGUACUAUACGAAUAAGGUCCGGCUAAUUACGUG